AAGAAAAAGAAGAAAAAGAAAGCGGAAGAAUAAGUGUUAUUGCAAGUUCCCUCCUGGGUCUGCAAAACCCCGUUUUUCUUUUUUUU
Molecule: non-coding RNA, 86 nt
Filed under: Oxyrrhis marina
Lineage: Eukaryota; Dinophyceae; Oxyrrhinales; Oxyrrhinaceae
Source: RNAcentral